RNAcentral lists this ribosomal RNA (439 nucleotides) under uncultured bacterium. RNAcentral describes it as "partial 16S ribosomal RNA". It matches the Rfam family "Bacterial small subunit ribosomal RNA", at positions 339 to 795 of the family's 1533-position model. The record is from RNAcentral.
CUACGGGGUGCUCCAGUGAGGAAUAUUGCACAAUGGGGGGAACCCUGAUGCAGCAACGCCGCGUGGAGGAUGACACUUUUCGGAGCGUAAACUCCUUUUAUAUAGGAAGAAGAUGACGGUACUAUAUGAAUAAGCGCCGGCUAACUCCGUGCCAGCAGCCGCGGUAAUACGGAGGGCGCAAGCGUUACUCGGAAUCACUGGGCGUAAAGAGCGUGUAGGCGGAUUAAAAAGUCAGAAGUGAAAUCCUAUAGCUUAACUAUAGAACUGCUUCUGAAACUCUUAAUCUAGAAUAUGGGAGAGGUAGAUGGAAUUUCUGGUGUAGGGGUAAAAUCCGUAGAGAUCAGAAGGAAUACCGAUUGCGAAGGCGAUCUACUAGAACAUUAUUGACGCUGAGACGCGAAAGCGUGGGGAGCAAACAGGAUUAGAUACCCCUGUAGUC